ACGCUGGCGGCGUGCCUAACACAUGCAAGUCGAACGAGGUCCAGUCCUUCGGGAGAAGACCUAGUGGCGAACGGGUGAGUAACACGUGAAGAACCUGCCCCGAAGACCGGGAUAACCCUCCGAAAGGAGAGCUAAUACCGGAUACCCCCACCGAACCGCAUGGUUUGGUGAGGAAAUGGAUUCCGCUUCGGGAGGGCUUCGCGGCCUAUCAGCUAGUUGGUGGGGUAACGGCCCACCAAGGCAUCGACGGGUAGCUGGUCUGAGAGGACGAUCAGCCACACUGGGACUGAGACACGGCCCAGACUCCUACGGGAGGCAGCAGUGGGGAAUCUUGCGCAAUGGGCGAAAGCCUGACGCAGCAACGCCGCGUGGGGGAUGAAGGCUCUCGGGUUGUAAACCCCUUUCAGCAGGGACGAAUCAAGACGGUACCUGCAGAAGAAGCCCCGGCUAACUACGUG
This 458-nucleotide ribosomal RNA is filed under the name uncultured bacterium. RNAcentral describes it as "bacterial SSU rRNA". It matches the Rfam family "Bacterial small subunit ribosomal RNA", at positions 33 to 507 of the family's 1533-position model. The record is from RNAcentral.